GUUCUCUUUGUAACUAAUUAUUUGACAGUUAGGUGUGGGGGUAGGGUUUAGGUUUAGGGUUAGGUUUAAAUUAAUAUAAUAAAGGUCAAAGAUGAGAAAUUUGGUAGAAUUUUGUGUUUUUGAGUGUGUGAGUUAAUUGUUAAUUUCUUUUGCAUCCUCUAGCGGCCUCUAGUGGCUACUACUGACGCUCACCGCUCUGAAUUGAAAGGUGCCCAAACACCACUGAUUGAAGGAGACAUGGCUAUCCCAUUAAGUAUCUGGAUGCAAUGCACUGAAAAACACCACCUACAGAUGGAAAUUCCCCAUCCCUUGUAUUCUGGGUGACAGCCUAGGUAAAAACAUACUGACUUUCAUCCAAGAUUAUACAGGUCUGUACUUGAAUUUGCUAUUCCAUAUAUCAAGUUUGGCCCUGACUGCUCAUUUGAUGACACUAUAAAAU
Acipenser ruthenus (sterlet) is the source of this 439-nucleotide long non-coding RNA. RefSeq lists it as uncharacterized. The transcript is spliced from 3 exons. NCBI's taxonomy places the organism in Eukaryota, Metazoa, Chordata, Actinopteri, Acipenseriformes, Acipenseridae. The record is from RefSeq and is a predicted model, not a curated record.